CAUGUAGGCGGUUCUGCGCGUUUCGAGUGACAGCGGGUGGCUUAACUGCCCGAGUAUUCGAAAGACGGCGGGACUUGAGGACCAGAGAGGGACACGGAAUUCCGGGUGGAGUGGUGAAAUGCGUAGAGAUCCGGAGGAACACCGAGAGCGAAGGCAGUGUCCUGGCUGGUGACUGACGCUGAGGUGCGAAAGCCAGGGGAGCGAACGGGAUUAGAUACCCCGGUAGUCCUGGCCGUAAACGAUGACCACCAGGUGUGGGAGGUAUCGACCCCUUCUGUGCCGGAGUUAACACACUAAGUGGUCCGCCUGGGGAGUACGAUCGCAAGAUUAAA
This 332-nucleotide ribosomal RNA is filed under the name uncultured bacterium. RNAcentral's name for it is "bacterial SSU rRNA". It matches the Rfam family "Bacterial small subunit ribosomal RNA", at positions 568 to 898 of the family's 1533-position model. The record is from RNAcentral.